RNAcentral lists this transfer RNA (76 nucleotides) under Candidatus Jettenia caeni. Its description in RNAcentral is "tRNA-Val". It matches the Rfam family "tRNA". From Rfam's summary of the family: Transfer RNA (tRNA) molecules are approximately 80 nucleotides in length. The record is from RNAcentral. RNAcentral also lists the same sequence under 3 other names. Lineage: Bacteria; Pseudomonadati; Planctomycetota; Candidatus Brocadiia; Candidatus Brocadiales; Candidatus Brocadiaceae.
CGUCUCUUGGCGUAGUUGGUAGCGCGUUCCCUUGACAUGGGAAAGGUCACUGGUUCGAGUCCAGUAGAGACGACCA